UGGCCCUAUAGAUACCCUAUAGGCAGUCUCUAUCUCCUCAUAUCCCUAUAGGCACCCUAUAGCGCCCCAUAAGCAUCCUAUAUGUUCCUGUAUCCCGCUAUUUGACCCUAUAGAUACCCUAUAGGCACUCUCUAUCUCUUCAUAUCCCUAUAGGCACCCCAUAGCGCCCCAUAAGCAUCCUAUAUGUCCCUAUAUCCCCUUAUUUGGCCCUAUAGAUACCCUAUAGGCAGUCUCUAUCUCCUCGGAUCCCUAUAGGCACCCUAUAGCGCCCCAUAAUCAUUCUAUAUGUCCCUAUAUCCCCCUAUUUGGCCCUAUAGAUACCCUAUAGGCAGUCUCUAUCUCCUCAUAUCCCUAUAGGCACCCCAUAGCGCCCCAUAAGCAUCCUAUAUGUCCCUAUAUCCCCCUAUUUGCCCCUAUAGAUACCCCAUAGCACCCCAUAGGCGCUCUCUAUCCCCCCUAUAGUCACCCUAUAUCCCUCCAUAAACACUCCCAGCCCCCCGCAUCCCCCUAUAGGCCCCCCCAUAGGCGCUCUAUACGUCCCCGUAUUCCCCUAUAGCCCCCCCCCACCCGUUGGCACUCCAUAACCCCCCUAAAACCCCCCCACCUCCCUCCCCCCCACCUCCCCACGUGCAGCCAUAGGCGCGCCCCCCGCAGCCAAUCAGCGCGCGGCGCGGCGGUCAGAGCCGCAGCUGCCAUGGAGACAGGCGGGGGGCGGAGCCAAUGGGCGGGGAGUGGGCGGGUCCAAUGGGAGGGGGAGUGGGCGGGGCGUGUGAAGCCACGCCCCCCCUCCUGUUUUUUUUUGACACCGCCCACUGCGGGGAGCGCGGGAAAAAAACGGGGGGGGGAGGGGGGAGGUUUGGGGGCGUUGUGGGGUUAUUAUGGGAUGGAGGGGAUGGGGACCUUAUGGGGUCGUUAUGGGAAUGGGGAUAUGGGGACUUUAUGGGGUCAUUAUGGGGUAUGGGGAUAUGGGGACCCUAUGGGGUCAUUAUGGGGUCAUUAUAGGGACUGGGGACAUUAUGGGGUCAUUAUGGGGAUUGGGGACAGUGUGGGGUUAUGGAGAUAUGGGGACCUUAUGGGGUCAUUAUGGAGUAUGGGGGCGUGAGAACAAUAUGAGAACAUUAUGGGGAAUGGGGACAUUAUAGGGGAUGUGCGGGUCUAUGGGGCAUUGUAG
Long non-coding RNA from Phasianus colchicus (ring-necked pheasant), 1171 nucleotides. The record is from Ensembl. NCBI's taxonomy places the organism in Eukaryota, Metazoa, Chordata, Aves, Galliformes, Phasianidae.